UCGAUCUGCUUGGGCCUUGUUGUGUUAAUCGAACUUCAAAGCAAGUGUUGGCGUGGCAACAGUAGCAAUCAAGUUCAGAGUACUGACACUGAGCAUACGAGCACCCUCGUGCUAAUAUACACUCCUAGCUUCUUCUUUUUUUUUGGAAACUCGCUCCUAGCUAGAUUGCAAUGUGCACACGCAAGCUAGUGUCACUGGAUUGUUUUUUCUUUUUUUAAGGGAUUGUUUUUGUUAGUAUCUUUGAGGGAAGCUUAAGUGCCAUUGUUUAUCGCACCCCCGACACUCUUCUUCGAGACUUUAGCCGCAUGUAUGAAUCAAAUCCAUGUAUCUACGGGCAUAUGGCGUGAGAUCGGUCCAAGAGGGCCAGUGCGAGGCCUGAAUUGAACCCCGGGGAACCAGCUUUGCAACAAAAUGUGCCGCUGACUGACUGAGAUAGACGUUUCGAGUUUUGACUCACCAUGAUCGAUCGGAUCGAUGUGUGAUGACAUGAGCUAGCGUGCGACUAUACGGUU
This 512-nucleotide long non-coding RNA is filed under the name Brachypodium distachyon (stiff brome). Its description in RNAcentral is "long non-coding RNA (BDIS_LNC003455)". The record is from RNAcentral. Lineage: Eukaryota; Viridiplantae; Streptophyta; Magnoliopsida; Poales; Poaceae.